GACGAACCGUGCGAACGUUGUUCGGAAUCACUGGGCUUAAAGGGCGCGUAGGCGGACACGCAAGUCCGGGGUGAAAUCUUUCGGCUUAACCGGAAAACAGCCUUGGAUACUGCGGGUCUAGAGGGAGGUAGGGGCAGCUGGAACUUCCGGUGGAGCGGUGAAAUGCGUUGAUAUCGGAAGGAACGCCGGUGGCGAAAGCGAGCUGCUGGACCUCUUCUGACGCUGAGGCGCGAAAGCCAGGGGAGCAAACGGG
This 253-nucleotide ribosomal RNA is filed under the name uncultured bacterium. Its description in RNAcentral is "partial 16S ribosomal RNA". It matches the Rfam family "Bacterial small subunit ribosomal RNA", at positions 524 to 776 of the family's 1533-position model. The record is from RNAcentral.